Long non-coding RNA from Carassius carassius (crucian carp), 1001 nucleotides. RefSeq lists it as uncharacterized. Lineage: Eukaryota; Metazoa; Chordata; Actinopteri; Cypriniformes; Cyprinidae. The transcript is spliced from 3 exons. The record is from RefSeq and is a predicted model, not a curated record.
CAAGUGUAAAUCACAGUGACAGCGCAGAUCUCACUGUUUCAUUAUCCGAGUGUUUCUUCUCUCGGAGCUCUUGUUCUGAUCUUAUCAUUCAUCAGGGUGAUAUUACAGGAUUUUUAUUCACACAGAGCUGAUGUGGAUGUUUCUGCUCUUCAUCAAAUCACUUUUUACAGUCAUCAGACGUGUGUCUGGAUGCAGACGGACCUGAAGAGCUUCGUUCUGGUGAAUUAGAGACAGACACAGAUGAGGUCACUUCAGUUCAUUCAGCUUGUUUUGAGCUCUUCAGCUCCUUCAUCUUCAUCUUUAUCAGUCAUCCAGCAGUCAAUAAUGUUACAUCAUGUCUCUCUCUGCUGGACACAUUUGUGUAGCACAAAAUUUCUGACAUCAUUUACUCAUCCUCAUGUUGUUCCAAACCUGUAUGAGUUUCUUUCUUCCCAUAAACACAAAAGAAGAUAUUCUGAAGAAUGCAGGUAACCAAACAGCCAUUGAUUUCCAUAGACAAAAAUACCAUGGAAGUCAAUGGCUGACGGCAACUGUUUGGUUACAACAUUCUUCUGAAUAUUUCUUUUGUGUUCAGGUGUGGAACCUGUGUGUAAAUCAUGACAGAUUUUUUUUUUUGGCUGACUAACCCUUUAACAUUUAUUAAGCCCUGUAAGUUUGUUUUAAGUGAAUGACAGCAGCAGUUUACUGAAAUACGGCCUGAUGUGAGUGUUAAGCUCUCUAGAUCAUCUGCAGUAUUUUAAAGCAUCUCUGCUUUUCUCUCAUGAUGUUUGAUCUGAAAGACUCAGAAAACAUUUCACCAGUAUUUUGCACCUUGUUUGCUGUUCUCCUCAUUUGACUUGUUUCAGAACCUGAAGAAACUUAAGACAUUUUUGACUGUUCACUGUAAUAUCGCUGCAAUUGUACUUCUUUUAUUUUUAUAUUUGUUUAUAACUUUUUAUAUAAAAAGAAGAAACCUCAGUGAGAUGUGCAUUACAUCUAAUAGUAAACAUCUGUCUGCCCUU